RNAcentral lists this transfer RNA (77 nucleotides) under Alphaproteobacteria bacterium. Its description in RNAcentral is "tRNA-His". It matches the Rfam family "tRNA". Rfam says of the family: Transfer RNA (tRNA) molecules are approximately 80 nucleotides in length. Their secondary structure includes four short double-helical elements and three loops (D, anti-codon, and T loops). The record is from RNAcentral. Lineage: Bacteria; Pseudomonadati; Pseudomonadota; Alphaproteobacteria.
GUGCCCGUAGCUCAGUCGGUUAGAGCGCCUGGUUGUGGUCCAGGAGGUCGUCGGUUCGAACCCGAUCGGGCACCCCA